This 625-nucleotide ribosomal RNA is filed under the name Turbinellus floccosus. RNAcentral's name for it is "eukaryotic LSU rRNA". It matches the Rfam family "Eukaryotic large subunit ribosomal RNA", at positions 75 to 656 of the family's 3401-position model. The record is from RNAcentral. Lineage: Eukaryota; Fungi; Basidiomycota; Agaricomycetes; Gomphales; Gomphaceae.
UUCCCCUAGUAACGGCGAGUGAAGCGGGAAGAGCUCAAAUUUGUAAUCUGGCGGCCUUUGGCCGUCCGAGUUGUAGUCUCGAGAAGCGUUUUCUGCGCCGGACCGUGUACAAGUCCCUUGGAACAGGGCGUCACAGAGGGUGAGAAUCCCGUCUUUGACACGGACUGCCGGUGCUUUGUGAUGCGCUCUCAAAGAGUCGAGUUGUUUGGGAAUGCAGCUCAAAACGGGUGGUAAAUUCCAUCUAAAGCUAAAUAUUGGCGAAAGACCGAUAGCGAACAAGUACCGUGAGGGAAAGAUGAAAAGCACUUUGGAAAGAGAGUUAAACAGUACGUCAAAUUGCUGAAAGGGAAACGCUUGAAGUCAGUCGCGUCUCCCGGGACUCAGCCGUGCCCCCAUUCGGGGGGGUGUACUUUCUGGGUAUGACGGGCCCACAUUGAUUUUGGGCCGUCGGAGAAAGGGUUGGGGAAUGGGGCACCUUUGGGUGUGUUAUAACCCUGGGUCGCAUGCCAAGGGUGGGAAUCAAGGACCGCAACACGUUCUUCCUUUUGCAAAGGGGGCUUGGGGGUUCGCCACGCAAACCUUGCUUAAGAUGCUUGGCGUAAUGGCUUUAAACGAACCCGUUUUG